RNAcentral lists this small nucleolar RNA (109 nucleotides) under Eremothecium cymbalariae DBVPG#7215. RNAcentral's name for it is "Small nucleolar RNA snR87". It matches the Rfam family "Small nucleolar RNA snR87". The record is from Rfam by way of RNAcentral. Lineage: Eukaryota; Fungi; Ascomycota; Saccharomycetes; Saccharomycetales; Saccharomycetaceae.
UGUCUCGUGUGAUGAUAUAAUUUGCGAUCUAGGUCAGGAUAACCUGGAGCACCGCCAUGCUCUACUAUAGGUAUCUUGAGACAUGCGAACAACUUUUAUUCUGACGAAU